AGUGAAAGAGUGUUGUGUGCUUUUGCUGAGUUUAGGAUGGUGUCAAUUGUGCCUCAGGAGAAGAGUUUAGACAUUCUGUCCUGAUGAAUGUAAUCAAGUCUUUAUUUCAUGGUUUCUCUUAACGCAAAUACGUACAGGUUCAUAUUCGUCGAUGAGGGUGAGAGGAAAACUAUCGCCAACAGAAAGAAUCCAGAUAGGAAGAGAGAAAAAGAAAGACCAGAGAUGGAUUUUGUGUCCUUUUUAAAACAGCCUCAAUCACCUGAUUCCUCCCUGCCACUUCUCUGCAAAUGAUAGAGUUCACACAUCUAUAAUUCUCUCAUAGGUUCAUGUGGGCUGCUCCUCAUAACCCUGCUCAAACACUACUGAGGCAUCAGGAUCUUCAAGAUUCAUAUGAGGAAACUGAAGCGAAAGAAUGUUGACUAAUUUUGUCAAGGUCACACAACUGGU
Molecule: long non-coding RNA, 447 nt
Filed under: Homo sapiens (human)
Lineage: Eukaryota; Metazoa; Chordata; Mammalia; Primates; Hominidae
Description: HSALNT0364782
Source: RNAcentral